Molecule: ribosomal RNA, 254 nt
Filed under: uncultured bacterium
Lineage: Bacteria
Description: partial 16S ribosomal RNA
Rfam family: Bacterial small subunit ribosomal RNA
Source: RNAcentral
UACGUAGGGCGCAAGCGUUGCCCGGAAUUAUUGGGCGUAAAGAGCUCGUAGGCGGUGUGUCGCGUCGGCCGUGAAAACCUGGGGCUUAACUCUGGGCUUGCGGUCGAUACGGGCAUCACUGGAGUUCGGCAGGGGAGACUGGAAUUCCUGGUGUAGCGGUGAAAUGCGCAGAUAUCAGGAGGAACACCGGUGGCGAAGGCGGGUCUCUGGGCCGAUACUGACGCUGAGGAGCGAAAGCGUGGGGAGCGAACAGG